RNAcentral lists this ribosomal RNA (253 nucleotides) under uncultured bacterium. Its description in RNAcentral is "partial 16S ribosomal RNA". It matches the Rfam family "Bacterial small subunit ribosomal RNA", at positions 524 to 776 of the family's 1533-position model. The record is from RNAcentral.
UACAGAGGUGGCAAGCGUUGUUCGGAAUUACUGGGCGUAAAGGGCGCGUAGGCGGCCUUCUAAGUCAGACGUGAAAUCCCCCGGCUUAACCUGGGAACUGCGUCUGAUACUGGGAGGCUUGAGUAUGGGAGAGGGAUGUAGAAUUCCAGGUGUAGCGGUGAAAUGCGUAGACAUCUGGAGGAAUACCGGUGGCGAAGGCGGCCAACUGGCCCGACCCUGACGCUGAGGCGCGAAGGCGUGGGGAGCGAACGGG